This 469-nucleotide ribosomal RNA is filed under the name uncultured bacterium. Its description in RNAcentral is "partial 16S ribosomal RNA". It matches the Rfam family "Bacterial small subunit ribosomal RNA", at positions 28 to 507 of the family's 1533-position model. The record is from RNAcentral.
GACGAACGCUGGCGGCGUGCUUAACACAUGCAAGUCGAACGGACAGGCCCUGCUUUUGUGGGGUGCUCGAGUGGCGAACGGGUGAGUAACACGUGAGUAACCUGCCCUUGACUUUGGGAUAACUUCAGGAAACUGGGGCUCAUACCGGAUAGGAGCUCCUGCUGCAUGGUGGGGGUUGGAAAGUUUCGGCGGUUGGGGAUGGACUCGCGGCUUAUCAGCUUGUUGGUGGGGUAGUGGCUUACCAAGGCUUUGACGGGUAGCCGGCCUGAGAGGGUGACCGGCCACAUUGGGACUUGAGAGACGGCCCAGACGCCUACGGGAGGCAGCAGUGGGGAAUAUUGCACAAUGGGCGGAAGCCUGAUGCAGCAACGCCGCGUGCGGGAUGACGGCCUUCGGGUUGUAAACCGCUUUCGCCUGUGACGAAGCGUGAGUGACGGUAAUGGGUAAAGAAGCACCGGCUAACUACGUG